Molecule: ribosomal RNA, 497 nt
Filed under: uncultured bacterium
Lineage: Bacteria
Description: partial 16S ribosomal RNA
Rfam family: Bacterial small subunit ribosomal RNA
Source: RNAcentral
GAUGAACGCUGGCGGCGUGCCUAAUCAAGGAAAGCGAGGGGACCGAAGGGGGACCUGGCUCCUCUGCGUUUACCGCGGGCGGGGGGAUAAACACGGGAAUAACCAACCUUUAGGACGGGGAAAACUUCGGAAACCCGGGGCAAAUACGGAUUAAUAUAUUAAACCGCAGGGUUAAAAAGGGAAAGAGGGUUUUGCGGUCACUUAUGAAUGGAUCCGCGCCGCAUUAGCUAGUUGGUAAGGUAACGGCUUACCAAGGCAACGAUGCGUAGCCGACCUGAGAGGGUGAUCGGCCACACUGGAACUGAGACACGGUCCAGACUCCUACGGGAGGCAGCAGUAGGGAAUCUUCCGCAAUGGGCGAAAGCUUGACGGAGCAACGCCGCGUGAGUGAUGAAGGUCUUCGGAUCGUAAAACUCUGUUAUUAGGGAAGAACAAAUGUGUAAGUAACUAUGCACGUCUUGACGGUACCUAAUCAGAAAGCCACGGCUAACUACGUG